Molecule: ribosomal RNA, 468 nt
Filed under: uncultured bacterium
Lineage: Bacteria
Description: partial 16S ribosomal RNA
Rfam family: Bacterial small subunit ribosomal RNA
Source: RNAcentral
GACGAACGCUGGCGGCGUGCUUAACACAUGCAAGUCGAACGGUGAAGCUCCAGCUUGCUGGAGUUGAUCAGUGGCGAACGGGUGAGUAACACGUGAGCAACCUGCCCCUGACUCUGGAAUAAGCGCUGGAAACGGCGUCUAAUACUGGAUACGAGAAGUGUCCGCAUGGGCACUUUCUGGAAAGUUUUUCGGUUGGGGAUGGGCUCGCGGCCUAUCAGCUUGUUGGUGAGGUAAUGGCUCACCAAGGCGACGACGGGUAGCCGGCCUGAGAGGGCGACCGGCCACACUGGGACUGAGACACGGCCCAGACUCCUACGGGAGGCAGCAGUGGGGAAUAUUGCACAAUGGGCGAAAGCCUGAUGCAGCGACGCCGCGUGAGGGAUGACGGCCUUCGGGUUGUAAACCUCUUUCAGCAGGGAAGAAGCGAAAGUGACGGUACCUGCAGAAGAAGCACCGGCUAACUACGUG